AUAUCUCUCUGUACGGGAAGGAUGAGAAGCUUCGACCAAGGUUCGAUUCGAGCGCAGCGAGAAAGCGUUGCCGCAGGCAACGACC
This 85-nucleotide small RNA is filed under the name Salmonella enterica. Its description in RNAcentral is "partial RtT sRNA". It matches the Rfam family "RtT RNA", at positions 1 to 84 of the family's 130-position model. From Rfam's summary of the family: This family represents a bacterial cis-regulatory element known as RtT RNA. The exact function of RtT is unknown although it is thought that it may be involved in changing the cellular response in relation to amino acid starvation. RNAcentral also lists the same sequence under 1 other name. Lineage: Bacteria; Pseudomonadati; Pseudomonadota; Gammaproteobacteria; Enterobacterales; Enterobacteriaceae. The record is from RNAcentral.